AGCUCCAAUAGCGUAUAUUAAAGUUGUUGCAGUUAAAAAGCUCGUAGUUGGAUUUCGGGACGGCACGGUCGGUCCGCCGCAAGGUGUGUUACUGGCCGGGCUGUUCUUCUUCGCAAAGACUGCGUGUGCUCUUAACUGAGUGUGCGCAGGACUUGCGACGUUUACUUUGAAAAAAUUAGAGUGUUCAAAGCAGGCCAGCGCUUGAAUACAUAAGCAUGGAAUAAUGGAAUAGGACUUUGGUUCUAUUUUGUUGGUUUCUGGAACCGAAGUAAUGAUUAAGAGGGACAGUUGGGGGCAUUCGUAUUUCGUUGUCAGAGGUGGAAUUCUUGGAUUUACGAAAGACGAACUACUGCGAAAGCAUUUGCCAAGAAUGUUUUCAUUAAUCAAGAACGAAAGUACG
Molecule: ribosomal RNA, 400 nt
Filed under: phytoplankton environmental sample
Lineage: Eukaryota
Description: partial small subunit ribosomal RNA
Rfam family: Eukaryotic small subunit ribosomal RNA
Source: RNAcentral